Molecule: ribosomal RNA, 529 nt
Filed under: Bryodemella tuberculata diluta
Lineage: Eukaryota; Metazoa; Arthropoda; Insecta; Orthoptera; Acrididae
Description: 16S ribosomal RNA
Rfam family: Archaeal large subunit ribosomal RNA
Source: RNAcentral
CAAAAACAUGGCUUCUUGAUAAUAUUUUUAAGUCUGACCUGCUCACUGAAUAAAUUUAAAGAGCCGCGGUAUUUUGACCGUGCAAAGGUAGCAUAAUCAUUAGUUUCUUAAUUAGAGGCUUGAAUGAAUGGUUUGACGAGAAAUUAACUGUCUCUUAAUAAAUUUUAGAAUUUAACUUUUAAGUUAAAAGGCUUAAAUACUUCUUUAGGACGAGAAGACCCUAUAGAGCUUGAUAUUUAUAAGUUUUAUAUUAUUUUAGGUUAUCUUUUUAUGUAAUUUUUUAUUAUUUGGUUGGGGUGACAUGAAGAAUAAUUAAACUCUUCAUUAUUAAAUCAUUGAUUUAUGUUCAUUUGAUCCAUAAUUUAUGAUCAUAAGAUUAAGUUACCUUAGGGAUAACAGCGUAAUCAUUUUUGAGAGUUCAUAUUGACAAAGUGGAUUGCGACCUCGAUGUUGGAUUAAGAUUAAUUUUAGGUGUAGUAGCUUAAUAAUUAGGUCUGUUCGACCUUUAAAUUCUUACGUGAUCUGAGUC